AUUCAGACCAUAAAAGUUAUUGUACCCACUUUUAUCUAUUUAAUCCGUUUGUUUCCAACAAUUACGUUCAGAUUACCUAUGAAAACGUUGAGACAUUAGACAAAACUGGUUAUCAUUUAAAGCUAUUAUUUUACUGACGAAUUUAACAGACAACACGAACUUAUUUGAGUAGUAAACCCAGGCUGCAUGCCUGCAUCAUAUGCAAAUACCGACAACUCUGACAAGAAGACUAUUUUCAAUCAAACCAACAAACUUAAACAAGCUUUCAUUUACCAAAGGUUAAUUCACAUCACGUUAACUUGAAAGACAUUGGAUUAAUUUCUACUACAUUUAGAAUUUAUGUAAGCGCUUACUUUAAGCCAAUUAAACAGAGCUCUUAAUUUUGGUAAUACCAUCCGGAGGUAAAAUAUCACACAUACAACGUACACAUAGACACACAUACACAGAGACUGCACAGCUAUUGUUACAGCUAUUGUUUUUUACCAGUAUUUGUGGAGAAGAUACUCAAGAUGCUAGAUUUUUUGCAAGGGCACGCUUAUGGCCAUUUUGCCUCUCCCCUCCUCUUUCUUUCUUUCUUUCUUUCUUUUUUUUUUUUUUUUCUCUUCAGUCUUAGGAAUUAGUGAUGGGCUAGAUAGUAGUUCCUGGAGAGGGGAGAUGAUAAUCCUUUUCGUGAUAAAGGAACUAGGUGGAGUCUGAACUGCCUCUAGAGCUGUAUUUCCAGUCUUGCAAGGAUUUUCUAAGGACAGUUGCUCUUGAUUUCCCAGAAACUGGCUUGUAACUCAAAUUACAUUCCAGGUUGAUCUACCUAUCCAGCUGCAUCACAAAGCCAGUGUCUGACUGACAGCAGCUGGAGAAAGGGUGCAGAGGCCGAUUGCGGGUGUUGACAUAGCUAUAAGAUUUAGUCAAGUCCCGCUCAGCCUGGGCACUUUGUCUCCGAGCCAGCACAGUUGAGGCAGGGAAGCAGGAGGCAAAGGCCUGGAACUGGCUGGAGGCACUCCCAGUGCCAAGAGUUGAGAGUUAAGUCCCUGGCAAAAGUCUUAAGUUUUGAUUUUACAGAAGGUCAAGGUUCUGCUCAGGUCCAGCCUGAACUUUAAACCUCGACUUGGUGACAACAAAGGAGGUGAUGAACAAGACAGACAAAGAAAGGAAAAGAAGAGAUCAGACCUCGCCCUCCUGGCCUCUUCCAGAGGGUUAUCAAGAUAAGAGUCACACAACAGUUCCCGUGCUGGGACACACUAUGCUAGCACGACAGUUCACAGAAUGACUCACAGGUCUCCUACCCUCAUAGCCGACUCAGUAGGUGACUAAAAUACUCAAUGAGUCAACCGUCAAGAGAGGGCACCCCCACUUAGGGUUGCUGGGGUGAUCAGGCCCAGAAACCCAAAGUUGGGGCUCCCAGGGGUGGAGCCUUUUACUCUUUAAAGAUUUCUUUGCCAAUUGCAAAGCUCAAAUGGAGACGAAAAUGGCCAUUGUAACUCUUAAGAGAGACGAAAGAAACGGGUCCAUUACCAUGAAAAAUCCCCCCUGAACCUAGGGCAGCGUCCUACCCAUUGUUCCUACUGUGGGGUUCCUAUAGCAAGGGGUGAUGGGGGCGUCCCCCGGCAUUGCAUCCCUUGUAUACCUUCCCUGUUAUGCCUGGCAGUAACAGGUGCCUGGUGCCUAUUCUGCCUGACAGCAUAGGCCUGGUGAAUGGUUCCCGAGAGAAAAGGAGAAAGAAAAGGGGCCAUUACCUUGAAAAUCCCCCCAUUGGGGUUCCUGUAGCAAGGG
This 1767-nucleotide long non-coding RNA is filed under the name Equus caballus (horse). RNAcentral's name for it is "lncRNA (ENSECAG00000045060.1)". Lineage: Eukaryota; Metazoa; Chordata; Mammalia; Perissodactyla; Equidae. The record is from RNAcentral.